UUUUGAUACUGAUUUUUGUGGGAAAAAAAGUACACUCACUGAAGGAGCCGUGCUUAUUACAGGUAAACAGCACAUAUCCGUAUAGUCAGCGUGUGCUAUUGGGCAAAGUGAACUGUAAGAACACAGUGUAAGUAACUCUUUGAGAUUUGUGGAUGAGCAGGUGUGGUUUAAGGCUUGAAUUGUACCUCAGCUUUGUAUGCUUUGUGUACAUGACUGAGUUUGAGCCUUGUCUGAGGAAGCUAAGGAGCUCAUUUCACAUCAGUCUUGAAGCAAAGGGAUUCUCAGAACACGCAGAGCUAAUCACAGCAGGGUCAUAGGAGGCAGAUACGUUUGCAGGACUGAUGCAGAGCUCCAUUGCUCGAGGUGGAUCCUGAGGAAUAGUUGCUAUUUAUUGCAGCCCAAUGUAUUGGAAUUCAAAACCAAGGAGAUCGAUCAUCCUCGCAUCAGAUCUGAGGGCUUCUUAUCAAAUAAAAAAGCCUGCAGCAGCAGAAAGCAGUCCUACCUGCCAAGAUGAAGUGAAGACACAAAAGUGUUUUGAAGAAACAAAAUGGGAGACAGCCAUAGGACACAGGUCUCCUUAUAGUCAUGCCAAAACGUUUGGUACAUAGUAUGCAUUUUUUGCAGUGUGGUGGAACAAAGCAAUUAUUUCACAGCUGAAGGAAAACCAGAAGAUAUUUAAAAAUGGAAAGUUCCCUUCCCAAGCCAUAAUGGAUGACGACGGUAGUAGAAGUAAUAUAUUCAGAGGGACCAAAACAGGAUAACAAUUUUUCAGAAGCUGAAGAAAUAUAUGAGGGAAGAAGAGAGAUUGAUACAGCAGCAUUGGAACCAGCUUUGUCCUUGGAUUGCAAGGGAAUGGAGAAAUGAGGUGUCUUCACAGAUCUUUCUUAUGUGACCAAGUGGCAGAAAAUGCUGCAGAAAUCUACUUCAGACAGUUAAGUAUUCAGGUUACUGAAAGCUGUGUUUACUAUUUUUAUAUCUAUGGUUGUGAGCUAAGUAUUUUUUUUUUUUUUUUUUUUUUUGCCUGUUCACAUCCUUGCUGCCUGCAGAGCUUCCCAGUUGCUAGGCUGUGUUUAAUAUAUUAUUUUCCCAUUGAGACACCUAUGCUCCCUGUCACAUCUCUGUUGUCUCUUUUCAGUACUGUAUGAGCCCCAUCUCUGGCUUCUCUAAAUGUUAAAGACCUCUCUUCCAGUUAUUUAUACAGUAUUUAAAAUACGUCCCUUAGUAAUCUUGACUUCAUCAGCCUGACCCCUCUGAACCACCAUUCGCCCUUGGUUCAUCAAAUCAGGUUCAGCCUUCUUGCCUUUAGCUUAGGACAUUUUAAUUCUUUUUUUCUGCAUAAUGUCUGUUUCUGUCUCCUAUAUUGAGAUUUAUUAAAAUUAUUUAGCCAUUUUAAGAUGAAACCGUAUGUCUAGUUGAGUGUUCAAAAUCAGUGACUACCUAAUUCCCCCUGAGACUAACACUCAUUCAUUCUCCUCAUUAACUUAGCAAGAGGACUUAGAGUCCAGCAUUGCAGAUUGUCUCCAGGCUUUCAUGCCUGAACUUCUCUUUCACUGUUGGGGGCAUAGAUCCUUCCUCUUCUGAGGACAAAGAAAUUUGGUGUCAUCCAGUCUGUGGAGAAAGUUUGCUGCAACUUGGAAUGCUGUUCUACCAAACAAUUCCUUUCUUCCAUCUGCGACACAAUUUUUUAGGGUUUUCCGAUUAAUCCAAAUACUGAAGAUAUUAUAAAGCCACAGAAACUGCUUUAGGCCAAAGAUGGCAAUUACAGCUAAGAGCUAGAGCUAACUGAAAGGCUUCCUAUUUUUUAACAUUUUUCUGUGGCUUUUAAGAUCUUUUUGUGUCACUCUGGAAUGAAAACCAAGUGCACAAAGACUUUUGGCAAAAAUGGGACUUUGCAAAAUGUUCAUCUUUGGCUCCAGAAACCGUUUUUCUUCUACUCUCAUCUUCUAGGAAGCCUAUUGUAGAGCUUAGAAAUAAUCCUGUCAGAACUUCAUCAAAGCCAGUAUUUGUUUUCAAAAUGUUCUAGUUUUGGCAUAAUAUUAGUUGGAGAAGAAAGUAUUUAAUCCAAAAUUUUCUGACUAGUUCCAUAAAUGUCAUUACAUUAAUUAGGUACAUAAGUAACAGUAGCUGAAUUAGCUAUGUUUACACAUGUCUAGUCAUCUGAAAGAAUAUGAAGUCAGACAGGACUCAAGGGUUGGCUCAGUAAGUGUCAUAAAUUUUAGUAACCCCUGAUCUUGAUGCUCAGUAGAACACAUCUGUGAACAAAACUAAUUGAAACAUCAAGAAAAAGUCAAAACAAAUGAAAAGCAUUAGCAAAAAAAAAAAAAACAAUUAUUAAUUUAGAGUAAUAUGUUAGGGUGAGUGGCAAAUUAAAUCGCUAUCCAAGUCCUGACACAGUUUUUUAUUUGAAACUAUAAUGUGAUUAUUGAUCAAAUGAAUUAAUUCUAUUUUGAUGGUAAUAUUAGCUUUUAAGUAACACAUAAACCUAAAAAUAGUUUAAUACAAGGCUUUCAGGGUCAUCAUCCUCCAAUAUUACUGUAAUCAGGAAUAGUUCCAAUGAAUAUAAUUAUGUUGUAUUCAUGAUACGAUAAAGGCUAUAUAAUUGAAAUCAAAUUUAGAGUUUUUUAAGGUUUUUAUUCAUUAUCUGAUUAGCCUACUACCUCAUAUGAAAGUAGUCAAGUCUUCUGAAUCUUACUCAUGCUGAGUGAAGACAUAUCUGGAUAUCGUGGAUAUUUCUGAGCCAGUUACUAUCGUACUCAUAUACAGUUUCUUCUGUAGUUUCUUUCUGGUUUUGUGUGUGUGCAUGUGCAUUUAUUUCAUAUGACUAAGAACCUCUAUCUAUCUGAAGAAUUGCAGGCUUUGGUUGCUAUUUCUCUACGGAAUGACUGGGAUGGUAUAUGAUGGUGCUUUGCAAAAGGAGCAGAAAUAAGUUAGCUUGAUGAAAUUUGUAGGAGAUGGCAGCAUCUGCUAACUCCAAACUCAGUCCUUGUGUUUGCUUUCGGUUCUUUUGAAACUAGUUUCUUGUGAUGUAUUUUAAAAUACAUAUUGUAGUACAGUUUUUCUCUAAAGCAUGCACUAUCAGAGAAUCACCUCUGAUGUAGAGUUGUCUUUUCAGACUUGCGGAACACAUUUCUUGUUUCUUAGAAUCUUUUAAAAUGUUGGUGUCUAGUACGACCCAAUGCACUGAAAUAUCUUGUAUAUAAUGCUAUUUUCUAAUGAACCGUGAUUCUCUGGUUCUGUCAAGAGUCGUGCUCAUAUUAGUAAAGGCUAAAGAGAGUACCAUUAUGUGUCUAGCAGAGAUAGUCCUUAACAGACUUGUCAAGUCUUAAGCAGUGUGCAUAAAAGAUGAAGCAUCUUGUUACAUCUGAUACCUCCAACUCAAGUGCUCCUAGGAAGUCACUGCCUUCCUCCCUUCUCCAGGACCAUGCAGGCCAGACAUGGCUUCUCACAUCACUCAUGGAGGGCUGGCUCCUUUGCUGCAGUCAUCUGCCAAACUCUUGUUACACUGAGAACCUCACAUCAGAUUAAAAGUUUCAUAGAGAUAUUCAGACAUCAGUCACUCACACCACAUCUCCUGCCCCCACAGCAAUACAACUGUAACCCCCCAAGAACUCUACAGAAUUUGACUUUGUAUAGAAAUUAAUAUUGAUUAGGUAGCACAACUGAAAAAACUUUCUAAAGUGUGCAGUAACAUAUAAAUUAGAAUUCUGUCCCUCCACCAUGUUCUGAACUAACCAUUUUCUGUUGAGAGUGAAGCCUGAAUGGAAUUAGCACUCACAACACUAUGCAGAGCAUAGUUUCAGAUUAAUUUAUAUGAUAUGAUGAUGAAAAUAAAGAAGACACCGACCAAAGUCUUCAGAAAUCCUAUGUUGAAAUAAGGAAAUACCUUUCCAUUUUAAUAAUUGUUGAUAUGGUCAGUGUCAGCUUUUUUAUACAGUAAAGGUAUGAAAGUCUGUGUUGUGUGAUUAGACAUUAAGCACAUUCAUUGAGGGACGAUUUCAUGGAGUCCCUGAUAUCAGUGGAGCAGUGGCAGCUGUUGGGCUUAACUUGGCCCAGGUUUAAGUACUUUUUUAAUUUGAAUAUGUUGGAGUCUAAAGUAGGAAUGAUCAUUCUUACUUUUCUUAUUCAUUCCAUUUUAUAGGGGCUUAAGAAACUAGGGGAAUCAGGCCCUUUGUGUAAUACAUAUCGUCUUACAUGAUUUCCAAUGAAGGAUAUUUUCAAGUAGGAGCUUAAGCUUAAAAAAAAAAAAAAAAAGAUUAACUUAAUUACUCUUGAGAUAUGGUAGAAUUCCAGUUGGCCACCUGAAUAAACAUACAAUUUUAUCAUUUUUUUCAGUGUUUCUGUGCUGCAGGAGUACAAAAGUACAGAUGCAUCUCAUGAGUAUAUAAUAAAGAGAAAAUAAGCUACCAUACCCUUUUCAAAAGAACUAAUCAAGUACUAAAAGGAAAAUUAAUGCAAAUAAAAUAUUGAUUAAGAACUAAAAGGAUUUUAAUUAUAUUACUUUCAGAAAUAAUUUAAUUUAACCCAAACAGACAACUAAGAGCAGAUAUUUCGCCUUAGCAUUUUUCAGAUUGCUAAUUAAAAUUUCUAGGAGGAAAUUCAAGUUUAGUGACUGGAUUUUAAAGAUAAAUAAUGCUUGCUUCUUUUCAUAAUAGUUUUAUAAAGGUUUACAUAGUGCCAAAAUAUAAUACUGCAUGCACAUUUUUUUUAAAAACAAUCAGAUAACCUGGAUGCUCCAUACAACCACUGGGGGUAUCGAGCACUCUUACAUUAAGAAAACUUGAAAAUUAAGUGUGUUAAGGUUAAAUAUCUGUCAUAUGUUUUUUAUGUAGAUUUAUAUCUACAUUGUUUAUGAAAUUCUUUGGAGAUAAUUGCUUUUUGGUAAGAUAAAGGCAAUUAUAGUGAUAGAGCACUCUUUGUGCUUCCAUUGCCACUGAGUAGCAAUUUUACUAUUUAUCUGAAAAGAGAUGUAUCUGAUUCUUUAUUCUCUGCCAUAAUGACUUGAUCCAAAAUCCAGUGAAGUAAAUGGAAAUUGCUCAUCACUCUAUAAUUUUGUAUAGCAUUUGGCUUUCAAUGCCACUGCCUACUUUACAUUGUAUUAUUUAUAAGACUGCUGAUCGCUUACAUAUACACCACGAAAUGGAAUGGGAAUGCAGUAAUACAGAGGCACAACAUUUGGAAGCUUUCUACAAAGAAUCUUUUACAACUACAAAUUCUUCACAGAGUAUUAAGGCAAACUGCUCAGAAUUUAAUUAAGCUCCUUUCAUCUUCUUUAGAUGCAGAGUGCUAAAUUAAAGAGAAAAAGAUGAUACUGAGCUACCUGUCCAAACACUUUAGGCAAAAAAAGGUAUAAUUAACAGUCCUUAACAUUAGAUUAGGGAGCAGUAUCAGAAAAUCCCCUUUAUGCCAAGACAGAGGGCUAGAACAUGCCAUGGGGACAUAACAAGAUUCAGAACCACUCUAAAGAAAAUUGUUACACAGAAGAAUCACGUGUCCCAUUAACCAGUGCUCCCUCUCUUGGGCCACUGUAUGUACACAUCAUAAAGCAUGUGACAUACAACUUCUAUGCAAUUUGAAACAUUUCCUAAAAAUUAUGCAAUGCAUGUCUGUGCUACUAGUCUCACUUUGUUAGUCUGCUCACUAGUCUCACUGGUCUCAAUUUUGAAAUUUUGAUUCAGUUAUAUCCAACUUUUCAACCAACUUGACAAGAGGAUUGAGGGGGUCUCAAAAUAUGAAAAUCAGAAGAGAUAGAAAAUCCCACAGAGCCCCUAAUAAUCUGCAGCACACUUUCGUGAGUUGCUAAGUAAUAGGUAAUCUAUAAAACGCAGCAAUGUUGCAACACCAGUCUAUGCAAAGCUUUGGUUUGGUCUCACUUCAUAACACUAGAAACUUGGAAGCACAUAUCUGAGGAAACCAGGCUUCACUACACUGUUGCUUAUGGAAGUAAUUCCUUUUAAGAGAUGAAUAGUAAUUUACACAUUAUUGGAUUAUCUAAUCAACAUAAAAAUGAUUUUACUUGAACACAGGGAAGCUUAGGAGUUUGUCCUCUCCAUAGGCUUUGUCAGAGAUGUAUUAUUGUGCUUGAUGGACUUGAACUGAUAGGGUUGCUUCUCUGUUCCUUUGGCUUAGUCAUGAACAAACAAAAACUAAUUUUGGCCACUCAGCAUUCUGUGAACCAUACAAUCCUCUGCACAUGAUACUUCUGCAAGAGUAAGCUUUAAAAACGAAACUCUUGUUCUCCGUAGGCACUAGAGAUGCAAAUUUGGUGGGACAGAAUCUGAAGGCUAUCUGUCUUCUCAGUUACCCUUUCUGCAACGUAAUAUUUCCUUUGCACUUUGAAGUGGUUGUAUUUAAGCUCAGUUGUGUACGUACAAAAUGAUCUCUGACGAUGAAAGGUAAUAUGAAACGAAAGAAAGACUUUGCAACAUGAAAGGCAUGAAAGAGGAAGAGAAGUAAAGGAGAUGCACUGUUGUUCACCAUUAAUCAUUUCAGCUGGCUACACCUACGUUAAAAAUGCAUGUGCAUGUAUUUACACAACACACAAACAUGCAACGAUGCAAACAGUACACUGCAUGUUUGUUAUGUACAUUGAGUGCAUGUGCGGCUACAACAGAAGUAAAUGAGAAUGAUGCUGAAACAUGAGGUGUAAGCUAAAGGGAACGUUUGAACGGCUGGAUGUUCAGCGAUGUAUGGAGCUGACAUUUGCAAAUCUAAGUUAUAUAUUCUGUUUUCAUUUCUCGACCCUGUCAGCUAAGCAAUCCUUCCACGAGACAGGAAGAAGGAAGAAGGGACAUAAUCCUGAGAGAGCCGAAUGAAUAUAUAUGUUUGCAAUUUCCCUUGAAAUCUGCACAGAAAAUAGGAGUCAACCAUAAAUUCAAAUAAAUCACUGCAAAGACUCACUGACAGAUUCUUUCCAUGCACCUAACGCAGCAAUUACAGAGUCUGGUAAAACUGAGACAGAAAUUGAAAACAGGUUAUUCAUAAAGAAACAAGACGAACCUGCCAGAAUCCUGCUGAUCUAUCAAGCUAAAGAAAAUACUGGACAUCAGCUGCCUCUUAUAGAAAUUCUUCUCUAGUCUGUGAUUCCAUGAAACUGCUUCAUCUGCACACUGCUCAACAGAUCGAAGCUCAGCUUCCGUACUUGGAAGCUUCUGAUGCUUUUGACUUAUUUCCUGGAGAAGCAAUAAACUUGGAGAGCCAUGUUCUUGUUCCUAAUUAUAUAAGAAUUUUACUGCAGGAUGUGGCAAGAAUAUUUUCCUUACUGCAGAGGUAGUAUGAAUUUUAUUCAGGAUAUGUGUUACAGCUGCAGUCACCAACAGCAGGAUUUCUGUAUACUUGCUCUCAGUAGAUCACUCAAAAUCUACAGUGGAACAAGAGUUACUUGGCCUCCAACAAACAGCUCUAUUUCACUUUCACUGUUAAUUCUGCAAAAAGAUGAGACUCAGAGAUUAAGUGUAUUUGAAUCCAUCUCCUCUGACAAUCAUCAGCUGAGGAAAAUAGAUCAUUUUUACCUGAUGCACUGAUUAUAGACUGGGUUUCAUAAAACAGCAAGGAAUGUAAUGACCUUUCAACCAUUCUUCAUUGCAGAAGAAAUCAUCAAGUUCUUUAGACUCCAGCAGAGCAUUCAUAAAUAGUAAUGCUUAUUUAAGGUAAUUCAAUGUGCAAUAAAAGAGACAUAGAGAAGAAUCCCCAUUAGAUUGAAUAAACAGAAGGGAGUAAACUCAUGCUGUGUAUUUUUUCAUUUCUAAAUAAUUAUUUAACAUAAUCUGUACAAGAAUUUGAGCUAUCUUCAUUCUCUACUGCAAUACAAUGUAGAUUACUAUAGGAUUGUAAAUAUUGGUCUUCUAAAACUGACACUCACUGUUAUUUAGGGUAAUCAUCCUCCACCCAUCCCCAACCUGAUUAAAGUUUCUUCAGUCUUCCAGCCAUCCCCACCAACUUGGAUGCUUCAGUUUGUGGAUCAUGCACCAUUACUUUAUCAGAAUAAUGCUGAUUUUCACAACUGAACCAAGCAAAUUAUUUGAUAUCUGAUUAAUGAUUCCAUCAAAAUGGAUCUUAUUUCUCUGUCUCAUCAUAAAAUAGAAUUAAUAUUAAGAAAUGUCUGAUUACAUUCGUAAAGAACUACCCAAAUGAACUGUUGAUCUGGACUCUAUAGAAUUCAAAUUCUCCAUACCAUUCUCUCCAUGAUCCUGCACUUCAUGGCCCAAAUUUUCUUCCACCUACAUUAGACUUCCCCUAGGAUAACUACACAGACUUUACUGGAAAUAUGCUGGUAUAAAUCACAGAUAGCAAGAGAUGGACUCUAAAAGAUAUUUAGAAAAGAAAUUGAAGUUCAUUUGACUUUUUAAUAAGAAUAAACAAAAACCCCAAAAUAACACCUCCACUCUAGCUCUGAAUCCCAGCUCUUGAAACAGGAUGUUAUCAAUUCCUUUGAUAAGAAAAGAAAAGAAAGCUGAAUAAACCUAUUAUCUUUUCUGUGUGCCUAUUUUCGCUUUGAUGUAAAAUAAAUAAAAAAUGAACUGACAAUUCUAAGAUAUGAAGACACCAUAUUGUUGUCACUCUGUGUUCUUACAAAUCUGAUUCAUUCAUGCCGUUUAAGCUGCUGAAGCCUUUGAAGUUGGAAAAUACUACCACAUGAACUUCUAGCAUUGGUAAUUAAGACAUAGUGUGGCAAAUCAAAGGGGACGUGCUACCUAGUGUCUACAGUUCCUUCCCCCAAAAAAGCAAGCUGAGAGUCAUGAUAAUAAAUCAAUUGGUUCUGCCUUUCAGUAGGAAAAGGCCUGUAACUUGUUAUAUUAUAACUCAAUCCCAUCUUGUAUCCAAGAUCAAUUCCUC
RNAcentral lists this long non-coding RNA (8832 nucleotides) under Gallus gallus (chicken). Lineage: Eukaryota; Metazoa; Chordata; Aves; Galliformes; Phasianidae. The record is from RNAcentral.